AGUGAACGCUGGCGGUAGGCCUAACACAUGCAAGUCGAACGGCAGCACAGUAAGAGCUUGCUCUUACGGGUGGCGAGUGGCGGACGUGUGAGGAAUACAUCGGAAUCUACUUUUUCGUGUGGGAUAACGUAGGUAAACUUACGCUAAUACCGCAUACGACCUACUGGUUAAAGCAGUGGAUCUUCUGACCUUGCGCGUUUUAAUUAGCCGAUGUCGGAUUAGCUAGUUGGCGGGGUAAAGGCCCACCAAGGCGACGAUCCGUAGCUGGUCUGAGAGGAUGAACAGGCACACUGGAAGUGAGAAAGGGACAAGAAGACUAGGGGAGGAAGCAGAGGGGAAUAUGGGAAAAUGGGGGAAAGGAUGAUCCAGAAAGACCGAGUGGGUGAAGAAGGAAUUGGGGGUGUAAAGACAUUUUGUUGGGAAAGAAAAGAAGGAGGUUAAAAACACGAUGGUAUGACGGUAACAAAAGAAUAAGAAACGGCUAACUUCGUG
Molecule: ribosomal RNA, 492 nt
Filed under: uncultured bacterium
Lineage: Bacteria
Description: partial 16S ribosomal RNA
Rfam family: Bacterial small subunit ribosomal RNA
Source: RNAcentral